Molecule: ribosomal RNA, 253 nt
Filed under: uncultured bacterium
Lineage: Bacteria
Description: partial 16S ribosomal RNA
Rfam family: Bacterial small subunit ribosomal RNA
Source: RNAcentral
UACGAAGGGGGCUAGCGUUGCUCGGAAUCACUGGGCGUAAAGGGUGCGUAGGCGGGUCUUUAAGUCAGGGGUGAAAUCUUCGGGCUCAACUCGAAGUCUGCACGAGAAACUAUCUGGCUUGAGUGUGGGAGAGGUGAGUGGAAUUCCUGGUGUAGCGGUGAAAUGCGUAGAUAUCAGGAGGAACACCUGUGGCGAAAGCGGCUCACUGGACCACAACUGACGCUGAGGCGCGAAAGCUAGGGGAGCAAACAGG